GAAGGUGUAUCUAGAAAGACAAAUUAGAGCUUGAAAAGUAAAGCAUUUCAUUUACAUUGAAAAGUAUAUUGUGUGAUUCAAUUUAAUUUGAUAAUAAAAAUUUAUUAAUUUUUUUUUGUUUAAAAGUUUAUUUAAUAAAAUUAAUUUUAAAUUAAGUUUUUUUUUGUAUAGUAUAUAGAUUAAAUAAUUUAUAUAAUAGUUAAUUAGUAUUGUAAAAGAAUAUUGAAAUAUAUGAAAAAGUUUUAAAUUAAAAGUAAAUUUUAUAUAUUGUACCUUGUGUAUCAGGGUUUAUUAAUUAAAAGUUAAUAAAUUUAAUUUUUCUCGAAUUUAAGAGAGUUAAUUUAUUAUUUAAUUUUUUGUCUCAUAAAAAUUUAAAAUAAUAAGUUAGAAAUGAAAUGUUAUUCGUUCUUAAAUAUAUCUAGUUUUUUAAGAAAUAAAUUAAAUUUAGAUUAUUAAUAGAUAAUUAUUUAUUUAAAUAAUGAAUUAUUAUUAAUAAUUAAUAUUUUAAGGGAUAAGCUUUAAAGUAAGUUUUAUAAUAAUUUUUUAAUUUGAAAAUUAUAGGUUUAGAAAUAGUCAUUAAUUAUAAAAAUGUUAUAAUUUAUUUUAAAUUAAAAAUAAUUUUUAUUAAUUUAAGUUUUUAUUAAAAUAAUUUUUAAAAUUAUAUAAAAAUUAAAAUAAUGAUAAAAUUAGUAUAUUUAAUUGUUUUAAAUAAAUGAAUUGAAAGGUUAAAUUAAGGAACUUGGCAAAUAAAUACUCGCCUGUUUAACAAAAACAUGUCUUUUUGAAAAUAAUUUAAAGUCUAAUCUGCCCACUGAAAAAUUUUAAAGGGCCGCGGUAUU
This 839-nucleotide ribosomal RNA is filed under the name Panorpodes paradoxus. RNAcentral describes it as "partial 16S rRNA". The record is from RNAcentral. Lineage: Eukaryota; Metazoa; Arthropoda; Insecta; Mecoptera; Panorpodidae.